UCGCCUGUUUAUCAAAAACAUAGCUUUUUGAAAAAAAAUAAAAGGUUUUUCCUGCCCGGUGGUUUUAGACUAAACGGCCGCGUUUGCGCUAAGGUAGCAUAAUAACUUGCCUCUUAAUUAGGGACUAGAAUGAAUGGAUUUUCGAAAAAUAUCUGUUUCGAGCUUUUGUAUAAAAAUUAUUAUUUGAAUGAAAAAUUUCAAAUUUUGUAAAAAGACCAAAAGACCCUAUCGAGCUAUAAUGAGUUAUAUUUAUAUAUACCUUUUUGAAAAUUGGGGUGAUUGAAGAUAAGUUUCAUCUUUAAGUAGAUAUGAAAUAUAAUUUUACCUAGAAUAUACAUAAAAAGUUACCGUAGGGAUAACAGGCUAGUCAAUUUUGAAAGUUCACAUUUACAAAUUGUUUUGGCACCUCGAUGUUGGCUUAGGAA
This 425-nucleotide ribosomal RNA is filed under the name Exallopus jumarsi. RNAcentral's name for it is "partial 16S ribosomal RNA". It matches the Rfam family "Bacterial large subunit ribosomal RNA", at positions 1796 to 2543 of the family's 2925-position model. The record is from RNAcentral. Lineage: Eukaryota; Metazoa; Annelida; Polychaeta; Eunicida; Dorvilleidae.